MicroRNA precursor from Cajanus cajan (pigeon pea), 99 nucleotides. The record is from Rfam. NCBI's taxonomy places the organism in Eukaryota, Viridiplantae, Streptophyta, Magnoliopsida, Fabales, Fabaceae.
AGAGUAUAGUUGAGCCGGGAUGGCUUGCCGGCAUAUGCAUUAAAGCAAAGAUCUCCUAUGUGGGUGUUGCUGGUGGCCAUCCUGGCUCAUGUUUGCUCU